Molecule: long non-coding RNA, 4848 nt
Organism: Cavia porcellus (domestic guinea pig)
Lineage: Eukaryota; Metazoa; Chordata; Mammalia; Rodentia; Caviidae
Exons: 6
Source: RefSeq, a predicted model, not a curated record
UUUACACUGCCAGGUGGCCUGUGCGCGCCCGGUCCCCAGACCACACAUUGAGACACGAUGCUCCAGUGUGCAUGUGUGUGUUGGGGGGUGAAACAAGAGACUUGAAAGAAGAGGGUGGUGUCCUCACCAGAAAAAUUAAACCCUGAACUCAAAGAACGCGGCCACGACCCCGCAGCGCACGCAGAGCCCGCCUCUAAGGUUGAACAGGUUCUGCAACGCGCCGGCGAGGUCCUCCAGUCCUCGGGCUCCCCACCUGCACCACCGAGGAUGAACACGUGAGAUUGUGAUCUCGGGAAGUGCUUAGCUCAGCAGAAAGUGCUCAGCGCCCGUGGAAUUCUGAUGGGAGGUGUUACAAGGUCCCUGCAACUCUCUGCCACGUGGCUGUCCUGAUCUCCGGGAACGCUGUAUCUGGAGAGGGGGUGAUGAAAGAGCCCAGAGGGACCCUCAGCCAGGUCAGCGGGGAUCAGAGGAGGUUCCUGUAAGAUUGCGUCUGAUCGUCUCUCAACAGCAAGAGGUUGUGGAGGUGAUCUCAUCUGCAGAGGAGGAGGAGAAAAAGGAGGAGGAGAAAUAGGAGGAGGAAUCCCUCACGUCGGCUGAGAUUAGGGAGAUGCAUAUGAUGCAGGAAACGGUGCAAAGUUUUGUAGAAAAGCACUCCCAGGACGAAGUUGUAGUGGUGCGAGCCAGAAAUCCCAGAAAGGAGGCAAAAGCCAAAGUCACUGAAUAGUUCCUCUUUAAAUUUGCACAGAAAGACGAUUCCAGUCGCCAACAGGGAGCAGGGAUUGUGCUAGUGACAGUAACAGGCGUCCUGCACAGCAGCCUCAUCUCGAGUGUCUCCCUCACAACAGCCACGGAGGCUUUUAAAACCCUGACCAGGCACCCUCAAAGAAGCAGAACUUGACAUGAAGAUCUGAGUACAAGUUGGGUUUGCCGGCAGGGUGGUACCAGAAUGACCACAGUCGGCUGGAAGCCACCUCCGGAAGAUGAAUGACAACGCAGAGCCAAGAUUUCUUCUCCUCCUUAUCCGACACAAACCAGCCUGCACGCAGUGUCCUGUGUCAGCAAGAAGCAUGUGUCUGCACAGGUGUGUCAGAGCCAUUCUGGAUUUUUGGGUCAAUCCGUGUUAGCAUUAGAGUUGCUCUAAUUGGUACAAUUCUAUUAUUAUCCCGUUUCAACUUGCCUUACAAGGUCUUUCUAUUCUCUCCUCCAAACAGGAGGGUGACAGCGGUGGGGGGAUGUUACAUGAUAUUGAUUUUGACGUUGAUCUCUUUUGUGGUUCUGCCGUCUGCCUUUGAUAGGGUUGAGCCUGGGUCCUGGUGCCUCCUCGGAUCUCAGCCUGCCGAAAGGGGUGCACGGCUUGUUUUCACCUUUUGCUCUUCAAUUCUCCUUGUAUUCACAAGGCCAGUAUGGAGGCGCAUGGCCAUAUCUGGCUUGCGGGGGGCUGGGAAAGGUGUUCUCCACGUGCCCACCCAAGACCCAAGGGCUGCCAUCAUGAAAAGGAGGGAUGGCAGAAUGGAUCCUUGCAUGGUUAACUGUUUUCAUUUGCAGGAUGAGGACUCCCGAUUAUAGUCUAAAGGAAACUAUAGCAAAGCCCCAUAUAAGCCAUUUACAAAGCAUAGCCUUUUCCCUUUUUUCCCCUAAUAAACCAUUUCCUGGAAUUUGGAUGUAUAAUAUUAAUAGCCAGAACUUAUCAUGGCAUCUUACAUACAAGUCUGGGGAAUGUUGAUUAUACCACUACAGAUAGUGUUACGUAAUUCACAUUUACCCAGCUGAGGGUUAAAUGCUUUGCUUUGGAUUUAAAAGUCAGGAAGAGUCAGAUCCGGAAUCCAAAGCCAGACAGCUGGGUUGCAGGGCCCAUCCGUGCUGCUGGCUUGACUGGAAGCGGUCCGCUGCUUCACCCGUGGAGUGGUGUGAAAUGCAUGCUCCCUCAGGAUGCAGAGUGAACCCCCAUCUGGAGGAUGACGUGAACAGUUUUUAUUAUAUGUUUCAUCUUUUGUUUAAACUGUACUGUGCUGCAGUUUUUUUUAACUUUUAAAAAUAUUCUAAGGUGAUUAUGAAAACCCCAGACGUGAUAAAUAGAAAUUCCUCUUCAUCCCCAUUUCUCCUCCCAUUACCCAAGCAAUACUACCCUCUCUAGAACAGGGGUUGGCAAACUCUGGCCUGUGGACCAGAUCCAGCUACUUCCUACCCACCUUUUCUGUAAUCAGAUUUAUGGGGACCCCGUUAUGACCAUCAGUCAGUGUUCUCUGUGGCUGCUCUGUGCCCAAAGGGCAGAGUCGAAUAUUGUACCAGAGACUUUAUGGUCCAGAAAGCUCAGAAUAUCUCCUGCCUGUCACUUCACAUAAAAAGUUUGCCAGCCUUUGCUUCAGAACAAAUCAAUAUUCAGAUUUUGUGGCUGUUAUUUCAGAUCCUUUCCCAUGUUUUUUUUUAAACAUAUGUCUGAUUAUGCAUGUAUGCAAUUACACAAAUACAUUUCUACGUAUACAUAGCUAUAUAUACACAUGCAUACCUUAGGCGAGUGGAACGUACUAUGUAACUGAUGGACAUAAUAUAUCUUGGAAAUUGUUCCCAUAUCAAUGUCUACAAAGCUACUUUGUUAUUCGAGGAAAUCACAUCGUCCCUUGCACGGAUGUACAGUAAUUUAUUUGAUCAUUCCUCCACUCUGCUGAUGAACAUAAAGCUUGUUUUCAAUUUCUGUCAAACAUCUUGAAUGAGUCCUCAGAAUGUCUUUGAAAACCCAAUUGUAGCCUCCAUUCACUUAAUUUGUAAGAUUUGAAGUCUUCACAGCAGGGAGGCUGACUUCCUUCAGCACUGGAGUUUCUCCCACACGGUAAACAGGACCAGAAAUAUAUUCUGAAUUUCAGAUCUUAAUUAUGCACUGUACACUUAAUUAAAAUUCACAUUGUCAGUAAAAGGUAAGGACUAUAGAUUAGACUGUGGUGGUUGGCAUCAUGAUUAAUAUACAUUUAAGCUUUAAAAUCUGUUGUUACAUUAUGUUGGAUUUUCCAGAAAGAAACAUGAAGUUUAAAUGCAUUUUUAAGAAGACAGAAGGAGAUAUGAACUCGGUGGAAGAAAUUCAGCGUAUUCUAAGAGCAGAUGAUAGCUGCGUAUAAUGCAAAAAUGGAGCCAAAGUCACACCUUAAUUUGCGUGUUGCUUCAAGCAGGCAGGUUUUUCUUCUCCUUCCUGAAAAGUAGAACCGUGCAAAGCUGGAGGAUGAAUGUGCAAAGGCUGAAACUCCAGGAUAGAACUUGCAUGUAAUUUUUUAUUUUGCAAAACUAACUAUGUUAAGUUUCACCACGCUUGGAGUCACCACCCUCGGAGUUUUAGAGGAUCACUAUGCUUCAUUUGUCCCCAAAGUUUGCAUUUUUCUGUAGUUACAUUUUCCUAUGAGAGAAUCUUGUUUUUCUAUUUUUACCCUAAAAAGUGCCCUUUGUUUGGAGACUUACCCGUCUGUGGCUUGAUGUGAAUUUUCCCACUGCGUUCGGUGCAUUUCCAUUUAUAAGCCACGUUUCUCUCACCGUCUCUGCUUCACACUCAGUGAAGAGUUUGUUCACGAUUGGAAGUGGCCCCCAUCCUUACACCCUGUAGUUCCCCAGAGCUCGCUCCCGCUAGUCCGAGAUCCGCUUUCUCUUCUCUGUUUCGGUGUUUGACUAUAACAAAUCCGAAGACCUUUGCUUUUUACUGACACUAACUUUAGUCUUUUAAUUUUGCUGUCUCCCUUCUCUUUGGUUCUUCGUUUUCAAUGUUUUGAGCUAUUGCUUCUCUAUGAUUGCCCUUAUACUUCGAGCAAUUUAAGCGCAUGUUAAAUAUCUGGAAUAGAAUGUGCUAGCUCUGUUUUAUAUCUCCCUUUUUUCUUGGUAAUUAGACUUCCAAAUGUUACCCAAACACAUGCCACUGAGAAGAGCAUGACACUGCCCAGUAAGUUUUUCUUUGUGACUGGGUGCAACUAUGUGACCACUUUUACGCCAAGGGGUGUGAGAAGUGGCCUUUGCAGUAUUAAGGGGCAUCUUUCAGUGGUGAGUCUACUGGCUGCUGGCUUGCUGGCAUGUGGCUGGGUGCUUGGCAGUAAAGCUUUCAACUUGGACCCGGAUGUGGGAGCUGCGUGUUGACCUUGAGAGGCCUGAUGACAGAGACACAACAGGAAGAAGGUGUCUAGGUACGUACCGGGAGAUAAAUGCCAACAGCACCAAAGUCCAGGAAAGCUUACUUAGUGCUAGAGGAGAGCAGAGUACAGACUCUGCUUCCUAAUGUGAUUAAAUCCAAAAUGUCUUGAAGGCUGCCCAGGGGAGAGGCAAAAAAGUAUGUGUACGUGUGUAUGUGUGUGCGAUAUUCUAAAUCGCUUGUGUAUUUCACUCAAAUUGAUGGCAAUCACCUAGAAAUCACUAAAUUUUCUGCUACAGUGUAAAUCGUGGACUUGGGAUGAAGAGAUGAAUUACAAAACUUGUAUUUCUUUGCAUCCCUUGAUCCUGGCGCACCUGGUAUGGGUUUAGGCUGAGGCAGGCAGCAAGCAACUGUUGGCGAGUUUGGAGCCUGCUGGUGGCACCUGCUCAUUUGCUUUCCUCUGAAACCUUUUUUCCUAAGGGCGGUGGGCACGUGGUGGUCAGGAGUUGCUUCUGUUCCCUCCCGAAUAUACUGUGCUGUCCUACAUCUGUCACUGUAUUUUUGCAGAGUCAGACGGUCUUCGCUGAAUUAUUUUUUAUUGCCAUCAUUUGUGAUCUCCACGAUAGACCUGUCUUUAUAUAUUUUCUUCAAAACAGGCUCCCAGUCAAUUUUUGGAGAGAGGACUGAGAGUCUCUUGGUCAAAUUUAAGAAUUGCAACUGGGGCAGUCACUUUGCUGAUGAAAAAAGCA